Molecule: ribosomal RNA, 472 nt
Filed under: uncultured bacterium
Lineage: Bacteria
Description: partial 16S ribosomal RNA
Rfam family: Bacterial small subunit ribosomal RNA
Source: RNAcentral
UGGGGAAUAUUGCACAAUGGGCGCAAGCCUGAUGCAGCCAUGCCGCGUGUGUGAAGAAGGCCUUCGGGUUGUAAAGCACUUUCAGCGAGGAGGAAGGUGGUGAACUUAAUACGUUCAUCAAUUGACGUUACUCGCAGAAGAAGCACCGGCUAACUCCGUGCCAGCAGCCGCGGUAAUACGGAGGGUGCAAGCGUUAAUCGGAAUUACUGGGCGUAAAGCGCACGCAGGCGGUUUGUUAAGUCAGAUGUGAAAUCCCCGGGCUCAACCUGGGAACUGCAUUUGAAACUGGCAAGCUAGAGUCUCGUAGAGGGGGGCUAGAAUUCCAGGUGUAGCGGUGAAAUGCGUAGAGAUCUGGAGGAAUACCGGUGGCGAAGGCGGCCCCCCUGGACGAAGACUGACGCUCAGGUGCGAAAGCGUGGGGAGCAAACAGGAUUAGAUACCCCUGGUAGUCCACGCUGUAAAACGAUGUCGA